AGUCGUAACAAGGUAACCGUAGGUGAACCUGCGGUUGGAUCAUUAUCUAAUCAGCUAAAGUAUCAUUGGUUUUAUUACUCUUGGUACCAAGGCAAAACAUUGUUGACCUAGUUGAGUGGUAAUCACUUGACUAGGAAGGCAAACACACCCUGUGAAAUGUUAACUAGAGCAAGACUCUAUGCCAACUAUUAAGUUGGUUAAAACAUAGAGUCUUGAUAUUAAAAACACCUUUACCUAUACAAGUGAGAGUUAUUUCUAUAAAGAAAAAACAACUUUUGACAACGGAUCUCUUGGCUCUC
RNAcentral lists this unclassified non-coding RNA (299 nucleotides) under fungal sp. RNAcentral describes it as "partial internal transcribed spacer region". The stretch from base 1 to 45 matches the Rfam family "Eukaryotic small subunit ribosomal RNA", at positions 1787 to 1831 of the family's 1831-position model. The record is from RNAcentral. Lineage: Eukaryota; Fungi.